UUUUUAUACACCAGUUUAUCUUUUGGAAUGUUAUUGUAAAGCAAGCCACAGAUGUGUGGGUCCUUAACAAAACAAUCCACAUUGAUGAUACCGAGAGUGUUUUGACCGGAAUAAUAGCCAUUGAUGACCGGGAAGCUCUACAGAAUUUUAUUUUGGCUGAAAAAAUCUGCUGGCUAAUACUCUACUUGUCUUAUUUGGAGCCCCACAGUCUGCCAAAACAACGGCACUAAAAGCUACUCUUUCAGUUGUUGGCAAAACAGAUAUUGUACAAGGAAUGACUUUCAAGGCAAUAAUGGAUGCUGUCUGCAAGACACCCAUUCCAUUUGG
Non-coding RNA from Pocillopora verrucosa, 327 nucleotides. The record is from RefSeq and is a predicted model, not a curated record. NCBI's taxonomy places the organism in Eukaryota, Metazoa, Cnidaria, Anthozoa, Scleractinia, Pocilloporidae.